This 253-nucleotide ribosomal RNA is filed under the name uncultured prokaryote. RNAcentral's name for it is "partial 16S ribosomal RNA". It matches the Rfam family "Bacterial small subunit ribosomal RNA", at positions 525 to 777 of the family's 1533-position model. The record is from RNAcentral.
ACGAAGGGGGCUAGCGUUGUUCGGAAUUACUGGGCGUAAAGGGCGCGUAGGCGGUACUUCAAGUCAGGCGUGAAAGCCCCGGGCUCAACCUGGGAACCGCGCUUGAGACUGGAGAACUAGAGUUCGGGAGAGGAUGGUGGAAUUCCCAGUGUAGAGGUGAAAUUCGUAGAUAUUGGGAAGAACACCGAUGGCGAAGGCAGCCAUCUGGACCGACACUGACGCUGAGGCGCGAAAGCGUGGGGAGCAAACAGGA